UCCGUAGGUGAACCUGCGGAAGGAUCAUUAACAAGUCUGCCGUCCCGUCGAUGAUACACAUCGCAGGGGCGACAUUUGUCCCGUGUGCACGUUCGCUCUGCACACGACAUUUCUGCGAAUCCUCUGACACGUCAAUGCAACAAACGAAACAACUUUUAACAAUGGAUCUCUAGGCUCCUGCAUCGAUGAAGAACGCAGUGAAGUGCGAAAAGUAAUGCGAUUUGCAUGCUCUGUGGGUCAUCGAAUCUUUGAACGCAUAUGGCACCCUCUGGCCCUGCCAGGGGGUAUGCCUGUUUGAGAAUCAUUCAUCCCUUUGGUCACUGGCACGUCCAGGUGGCCGAGACAUGGACCUUCACCGCUGAUCGUCUUGAAUGCAUGCACGGCUGUCGUGGCAAGGGAAGCGAUUCCAUUGGUGGCGGCAGCCAUCCAUUGUGCAGUGAUCUCAAAUCAGGCAGGACUACCCGCUGAACUUAA
Molecule: ribosomal RNA, 474 nt
Filed under: uncultured fungus
Lineage: Eukaryota; Fungi
Description: eukaryotic LSU rRNA
Rfam family: 5.8S ribosomal RNA (bases 151-304)
Source: RNAcentral